Molecule: ribosomal RNA, 503 nt
Filed under: uncultured bacterium
Lineage: Bacteria
Description: partial 16S ribosomal RNA
Rfam family: Bacterial small subunit ribosomal RNA
Source: RNAcentral
GAUGAACGCUAGCGACAGGCUUAACACAUGCAAGUCGAGGGGUAGCAGGGGGUAGCAAUACUUUGCUGACGACCGGCGCACGGGUGAGUAACACGUAUGCAGCUUACCUAUCAGAGGGGGAUAGCCCGGCGAAAGUCGGACUAAUACCGCAUAAAACAGGGGUCCCGCAUGGGAAUAUUUGUUAAAGAUUUAUUGCUGAUAGAUAGGCAUGCGUUCCAUUAGGCAGUUGGCGGGGUAACGGCCCACCAAACCGACGAUGGAUAGGGGUUCUGAGAGGAAGGUCCCCCACAUUGGUACUGAGACACGGACCAAACUCCUACGGGAGGCAGCAGUGAGGAAUAUUGGUCAAUGGGCGCGAGCCUGAACCAGCCAAGUCGCGUGAAGGAUGAAGGUUCUAUGGAUUGUAAACUUCUUUUAUUGGGGAAUAAAGUGCAGGACGUGUCCUGUUUUGUAUGUACCCAACGAAUAAGCAUCGGCUAACUCCGUGCCAGCCGCCGCCGUAA